This 248-nucleotide unclassified non-coding RNA is filed under the name Hevea brasiliensis (rubber tree). Lineage: Eukaryota; Viridiplantae; Streptophyta; Magnoliopsida; Malpighiales; Euphorbiaceae. The record is from RNAcentral.
AAAUAAAUAAAUUAAUUAAAAUUUAUAUCAAAAUAAAUGCUUCAUAAACUUAGGCAUGUAUAUUUGUUUUUAGGAAGUGAUUAUUCAUGCUGUGCUGGCAUAUAUAUAAAAAAUAAAAAACUUUAUUUAUCCAAGAACUGGUCUUCCAGUGGUAAUGAUAAGAACUCUGAGGAGGGGUUACAAAAUGGUGAAGAAUCUAUACGUCAAUUUGCUUCAAAUAUGUAAUGGAUAAUCUGACUUACCCAUAC